This 1095-nucleotide ribosomal RNA is filed under the name Triticum aestivum (bread wheat). RNAcentral describes it as "partial small subunit ribosomal RNA". Lineage: Eukaryota; Viridiplantae; Streptophyta; Magnoliopsida; Poales; Poaceae. The record is from RNAcentral.
AUGGGAGAUGCGCUGUGCGAUCAGCUCCUCGUCGACGUCGACGGCGAGUUCCAGCUCCCCACCGACGCUGAAGACCUAUUCAGCAUCCUCGAGACUUGGGAGGACUGCGUCAACGGCGCCGCUGCAGCGUUGAGCCCCACGGCCGGCGCCAGCAGCCGUGGUGGGCUGCUGGGCGGUUCUGCGCCGGGGAACAAAGGCAGCAAGCGGCGAGCGCGGCAGGACGAAUGUGACGGCAUAGCGCAGGCGCAGAAGAGGCAGAAGUGCUCGCCGGAGGAGGGAGGCGGCGCGGCGCCGAAGACGGCCCACAUCACGGUGGAGCGCAACCGCCGGAAGCAGAUGAACGAGCACCUGACCGUUCUGCGGUCGCUCAUGCCAUGCUUCUAUGUCAAGCGUGGUGACCAAGCAUCCAUCAUCGGAGGAGUGGUGGACUACAUCAAGGAGCUGCAGCAAGUGAAGCAGUCGCUGGAGGCCAAGAAGCAGCGCAAGGCCUACACCGAGCACGUCCUCAGCCCGCGGCCGCCGCCGUCGUCCUACAGCCCACGCCUCCCGCUCAGCCCGCUCCAUAAAUCCACGCCGCCGCUCAGCCCACUGCUCAGGUCCACUCCGCCGCUCAGCCCGCGCCUCGCCGUCCCGAUCAGCCCUGCCAGGACGCCGCCGACGCCAGGCAGUCCCUACAAGCUCCGGCCCCUGCCGCCGCCGAUCUCCGGCUCCACCUACGUGUCCCCGGCGAUGACGCCUACAGGCUACGAUGCGGCCUCCUCCUACCUCCCCUCGCUCGACGCCAUCGCCGCCGAGCUGUCGGUGUACGCCAACAGGCAGGCGCUACAGCUGCCCCCGACCGACCCACUCCCCGACGUGAGGGUGGAGUUCGCCGGCGCGAACCUGGUGCUGAAGACGGUGUCGCACCGCGCGCCGGGGCAGGCGGUGAAGAUCAUCGCCGCGCUCGAGUCACGGGCGCCGGCGCUGGAGAUCCUCCACGCCAAGAUAAGCACCAUCGACGACACCGACGUCAACGCCUUCACCGUCAAGAUUGGAAUCGAGUGCUCACUCAGCGCGGAGGAGCUGGUGCAAGAGAUUCAGCAAACGUUCUCGUAA